CCCCCAUUGCCUCCUCUUCCUCCAAUUCAAUGGAGGAUGGGAAAAUUACAUUCUUCCCCUGAUUUGGAGGAGGAGCUAACACAGCAUCAUAUAGGUGCCAAUUCAUCAAGUCUGCCACCUAGGACUGAUCAGAAUGCUCAACCUGUGAAUCGAAACAUGGCACUGUCAGCUGUAGCUACAGAGAGUACAGCUCUCAGUUGUGGAAACAGUAGAGUUAGGUUUAUUGAUCCAGGUGAUAAACACUCUGUAAAGCCUCACUUCCCAUUGCCAGGUCAAUAUCAUGAGGUGCAGCAGUCUACUUUGCAUGCCAUGAGAGGAGGGGAAACACAGCCUGUUAAUUCUAUCUCAGAUGUAACUUCUCUGGAUAAACCUUCUACUGAUGCUUUGGGUUCAAGUGAAGAACUUAUCCAACCACUGAGUCGAGUUGCUCCAGAAUUUCUUUUAGACGAACAAGGCUCUGAUCAUUUG
This 468-nucleotide long non-coding RNA is filed under the name Nicotiana tabacum (common tobacco). RNAcentral's name for it is "long non-coding RNA (NTAB_LNC005101)". Lineage: Eukaryota; Viridiplantae; Streptophyta; Magnoliopsida; Solanales; Solanaceae. The record is from RNAcentral.